AUGAACGCUAGCGGCAGGCCUAACACAUGCAAGUCGAGGGGCAGCACAGGUAGCAAUACUGGGUGGCGACCGGCGGAUGGGUGCGUAACGCGUAUGCAACCUACCAUUGAUUGGGGCAUAGCCCGAAGAAAUUCGGAUUAAUACUCCAUAAUAUUCAUCAAAGGCAUCUUUUAUGAAUUAAAGCUUUUGCGAUCAAUGAUGGGCAUGCGUGACAUUAGUUAGUUGGUGAGGUAACGGCUCACCAAAACGAUGAUGUCUAGGGGUUCUGAGAGGAUUAUCCCCCACACUGGUACUGAGACACGGAUCAGACUCCUACGGGAGGCAGCAGUGAGGAAUAUUGGUCAAUGGACGCAAGUCUGAACCAGCCAUGCCGCGUGCAGGAUGACGGCCCUAUGGGUUGUAAACUGCUUUUCCACGGGAAGAACCCUCCGACGUGUCGGAGACUGACGGUACCGUGGGAAUAAGCAUCGGCUAACUCCGUG
This 482-nucleotide ribosomal RNA is filed under the name uncultured bacterium. Its description in RNAcentral is "bacterial SSU rRNA". It matches the Rfam family "Bacterial small subunit ribosomal RNA", at positions 29 to 507 of the family's 1533-position model. The record is from RNAcentral.